CCUACGGGUGGCAGCAGUGGGGAAUAUUGCACAAUGGGGGAAACCCUGAUGCAGCGACGCCGCGUGAGUGAAGAAGUAAUUCGUUAUGUAAAGCUCUAUCAGCAGGGAAGAACAUGCCGGUAACUGAGUAAGAAGCCCCGGCUCACUACGUACCAGCAGCCGAGGAAAUACGUAGGGGGCAAGCGUUAGCCGGAUUUAAUGGGUGGAAAGGGAGCGGAGACGGCAGUGCAGGACUGGAGGGAAAGGCGGGGGCUCAACCCCCGGACUGCGCUUGAAACUGUACGGCUGGAGUGCAGGAGAGGUAAGUGGAAUUCCAUGGGUAGCGGUGAAAUGCGUAGAUAUUAGGAGGAACACCAGUGGCGAAGGCGGCUUACUGGACUGUAACUGACGUUGAGGCUCGAAAGCGUGGGGAGCAAACAGGAUUAGAUACCCGUGUAGUC
RNAcentral lists this ribosomal RNA (440 nucleotides) under uncultured bacterium. RNAcentral's name for it is "partial 16S ribosomal RNA". It matches the Rfam family "Bacterial small subunit ribosomal RNA", at positions 338 to 795 of the family's 1533-position model. The record is from RNAcentral.